GCGGGAGUAAAAGAUAUCUGCUGUGUUUUUUGCACAGAGGAAAGUCCGGACACCUUGGGCAGGAUACUUCCUAACGGGAAGCUGCAGUAAUGCAGAGCUAGCUCCACAGAAACAAACCGCACAGCAUCAUUUCGGUGCUAUGCAAGGGUGAAAUGGUGGUGUAAGAGACCACCGGUGCCAUUGGCGACAGUGGCAGCCAGGAAUGCCUUAUCCGGUGCAAUGCCAAAUAGGGAAGCUACGGUGCGCCCACACCGCUUCCGGGUAGGCAGCUUGAACCAAAGCGUGAGUUUUGGUCCAGAUGGAUAGAUAUCAAAUCCCCUUGGGGAUUACAGAAUCCGGCUUAUUGAACUCCCGCGAAU
RNAcentral lists this RNase P RNA (359 nucleotides) under Candidatus Cloacimonadota bacterium. RNAcentral's name for it is "RNase P RNA component class A". It matches the Rfam family "Bacterial RNase P class A". Rfam says of the family: Ribonuclease P (RNase P) is a ubiquitous endoribonuclease, found in archaea, bacteria and eukarya as well as chloroplasts and mitochondria. Lineage: Bacteria; Pseudomonadati; Candidatus Cloacimonadota. The record is from RNAcentral. RNAcentral also lists the same sequence under 1 other name.